UGCUGGUUAGCUUAGUCGGUUAGAGCGUGGUGCUGAUGACGCCAAGGUCACAGGUUUGAACCCUGUAUGGGUCC
This is a non-coding RNA of Podarcis muralis (Common wall lizard), 74 nucleotides long. Lineage: Eukaryota; Metazoa; Chordata; Lepidosauria; Squamata; Lacertidae. The record is from the annotation of a RefSeq genome assembly.